UGAGUUGAUUUUGAACACAAAAUCAUGUAAGGAUUUAUGAAAGACGUGAAAAAUGUGUUAAAAGUAAAUGUGUUAAUUACUAACACCAAAUGCGCGGUGCAAUAACAUAAUUAUACAUUCAGAACCUAUUUAAAACAGUGCAAAAGAUAAUCACAUUAAGAGCAACUUACUUGAAAUGCUUUACGAACCAUUCCAACAUGUCUUGGAAUCUUGGUUAGGCUCGCCAGCUAAUUUUACAUCCAUUAGCAUGUACCUCUCUCUUUACCAAUUCCGAAAAGUAAAUUUGAUGAGCGUUGUGAAGUCACAAAGUGGACACCAUGUGAAUACUCUCAUUUUCAUACUCGCGGAUACAAAGUGAAAUGGUUCAAGUUGCACCUGUUUUCAGUACAAAAAAGAAUUAGAAAGAAGAAAAGAUUUCAACGACAUAAGAAAAUAACCUAUUGAGAAUAGCAAAGGAGUGUCGCCUAUCUCCAUAGUACCAGAAAGCAAAAAGAUUAUCAUGUUAUAGAUUGAUAGGAGUUCUGAAGCUGAAGGCAUUUUAAAUUGAAAUCGUUUAUCUACUCUAUCCGAGGAAAGCUCAUAUCUUCUAAUACUUUUGCAAUUAAGCUCGCCUUCUUUAAUUCAUUUUCUGCAAAGUACUCAUUGACUAGAGUUUCUCACCGUAUCAAUGCACUAAUUGAAACAACUACCACAUAUAUUGCAAACAGUAAACUGUUGUCCACUCUAAAGCUUUAAAGGACAUAAAUCAAGCAAGUUUUCGCACUACCUAGUCUGAGCAAAAAUAGGGCAAAUAGAAAACUACAUAGAGUUCACUCUUAACAACUAAAUAUUAUGACGACAAAGCAGAACAUUGAAUGAUCCAGUUUCCCGAAUUAAGAAAACUGAAUCAGGUGCUUUCAAAUGGACAUCAAAACAUGCAAAGAUUAAUUGCCUGAUAUAUGGACUCUGUGAUAUGAUAUAAAUGCUCUAGAUUACUCCAAUUUCAAAGUUACAGAGGGCGAUCGCACUACAAUAUAUUAUCAGCAGACUCACAUACUAACACUGAUAAUAUCUAUGUUCAGAGUAGAGAUGUAGUAGACACAAACCACAAACCAAGAUCACUUCAAUCAGCUAAGUUUCAAGAUGAUAGCGGACUGAUAUAUGAACUCUGCUCUAAAGUAAUCAAAUUUCAAAAUUACAGGGGGGCAAUGAAACCACGGUAACCCAGACAAUCUCAUCAAGCUGUCCACAAAUAUAAUACAAAUAAAAAACCUCUAAAAAAUUCAUACUGCUCUAAAAUAAUCACAUUUCAAAAUCACAGAGAACCUUGACACUACAGUAUCCUAGAGGAUCACCUUAAGCUAUCCAUGAAGACAAUAUAGAUUAAAAAAACCUCUAAAUAGAAAUUCAACUGCUCUAUAAAAUAAUCAAAUUUCAAAUCAUAGAGAGCGAUGGCACUACAGUAUCCUAGAGGAUCACCUUAAGCUAUCCAUGAAGACAAUAUAGAUUAAAAAAACCUCUAAAUAGAAAUUCAACUGCUCUAUAAAAUAAUCAAAUUUCAAAAUCAUAGAGAGCGAUGGCACUACAGUAUCCUAGAAGAUAACGCUAAGCUAUCCACGAAGACAACACAUAUAAACAACCUAAAAGGGUUGUCUAUACAAUAUCCUAGAUGAUCAACUUAAGUUAUCCAUCCACAAAUACCAUAAAAUUCCUCAGAUUAAUUCUUAAAUAAUCAAAUUUCAAAAUCACAUAAAUCGUGGCACCACAGUACUCCGAAAGAUCACAUUAUCCUAUCUACGAAGAUAAAAAAAUUAAUUAAAAUUGCUAUUAAAUAGUCAAAUUUCAAAAUCAUAAAGUGCGUGAAACUACAGUAUCUUAGAUGAUGAUGUAAAAAUACACAAAGAGAAUAAAAAAAUACUCUUGAGACUUGCAUCUGAAGUACUGUUGAUGAGUUCACGGAGAAAGAUCUCCUUGUAGCUGUAGAAAAGUGUUGAUAAUAAGACUAAGAAGCUGAUUGAUCUCAGCCUGGAAAGCAAUGUCGUUGUGUCCGCCAUUUUUGGUAGAUCUUAAGAGUUGUUGCUACUAUGAUAAAGAAUCUCAGGCGAAGUGAAACACAGAGGGAUAAAAAGCUAGAGAGGGUUUAUGGGCAGUUUUAUGUAACUUUAUAUUGAGAACAACCUACUUGAAAUGCUU
Molecule: long non-coding RNA, 2172 nt
Filed under: Solanum tuberosum (potato)
Lineage: Eukaryota; Viridiplantae; Streptophyta; Magnoliopsida; Solanales; Solanaceae
Description: long non-coding RNA (STUB_LNC004741)
Source: RNAcentral